RNAcentral lists this ribosomal RNA (253 nucleotides) under uncultured bacterium. RNAcentral describes it as "partial 16S ribosomal RNA". It matches the Rfam family "Bacterial small subunit ribosomal RNA", at positions 524 to 776 of the family's 1533-position model. The record is from RNAcentral.
UACGUAGGUGGCAAGCGUUGUCCGGAUUUACUGGGCGUAAAGAGCGCGCAGGCGGUCGAAUAAGUCGAAUGUGAAAGCCCCCGGCUUAACUGGGGAGGGUCAUUCGAUACUGCUCGACUUGAAGGCAGGAGAGGGUAGUGGAAUUCCCGGUGUAGUGGUGAAAUGCGCAGAUAUCAGGAGGAACACCGAUGGCGAAGGCAGGUCUCUGGGCAUUAACUGACGCUGAGGAGCGAAAGCAUGGGGAGCGAACAGG